CCAAUAGCGUAUAUUAAAGUUGUUGCAGUUAAAAAGCUCGUAGUUGAAUUUCGGGGUUCAUACGUUGGUCGGGCUUUUUGGUCUGUACUAGCGUAAUGGAUUCCUACCUUCUGAAUAACCGGCAUGUCAUUAAUUUGGUGCGCCGGGGAAGCAGGACUGUUACCUUGAAAAAAUUAGAGUGCUUAAAGCAGGCUAUCGCCUGAAUACAUUAGCAUGGAAUAAUGAAAUAGGACGGCAUGGUUCUAUUUUGUUGGUUUCUAGGUUCACCGUAAUGAUUAAUAGGGAUAGUUGGGGGCAUUAGUAUUCAAUUGUCAGAGGUGAAAUUCUUGGAUUUAUUGAAGACUAACUUCUGCGAAAGCAUUUGCCAAGGAUGUUUUCAUUAAUCAAGAACGAAAGUUAGGGGAUCGAAGACGAUCAGAUACCGUCGUAGUCUUAACCAUAAACUAUGCCGACUAGGGAUCGGACGAUGUUAAUUUUUUAAUGACUCGUUCGGCGCCUUACG
This 502-nucleotide ribosomal RNA is filed under the name uncultured Glomeromycotina. RNAcentral's name for it is "partial small subunit ribosomal RNA". It matches the Rfam family "Eukaryotic small subunit ribosomal RNA", at positions 591 to 1092 of the family's 1831-position model. Lineage: Eukaryota; Fungi; Glomeromycota. The record is from RNAcentral.